UAAUGAGUGUAGGCGUCUCUU
RNAcentral lists this non-coding RNA (21 nucleotides) under Caenorhabditis elegans. The record is from RNAcentral. Lineage: Eukaryota; Metazoa; Nematoda; Chromadorea; Rhabditida; Rhabditidae.